This 406-nucleotide ribosomal RNA is filed under the name uncultured bacterium. Its description in RNAcentral is "partial 16S ribosomal RNA". It matches the Rfam family "Bacterial small subunit ribosomal RNA", at positions 30 to 526 of the family's 1533-position model. The record is from RNAcentral.
AUUGAACGCUGGCGGCAGGCUUAACACAUGCAAGUCGAGCGAGCGGCGGACGGGUGAGUAAUGUCUGGGAAACUGCCAGCUGGAUGGGGAUAACUACUGGAAACUGUAGCUAAUACCGCAUACCAUCAGAUGUGCCCCGAUGGGAUUAGCUAGUAGGUGGGGUAAUGGCUCACCUAGGCGACGAUCCCUAGCUGGUCUGAGAGGAUGACCAGCCAAAAGGGAACUGAGACAAGGUCCAGACUCCUACGGGAGGCAGCAGUGGGGAAUAUUGCACAAUGGGCGCAAGCCUGAUGCAGCCAUGCCGCGUGUGUGAAGAAGGCCUUCGGGUUGUAAAGCACUUUCAGCGAGGAGGCGUUACUCGCAGAAGAAGCACCGGCUAACUCCGUGCCAGCAGCCGCGGUAAUUC